This is a long non-coding RNA of Oncorhynchus tshawytscha (Chinook salmon), 342 nucleotides long. Lineage: Eukaryota; Metazoa; Chordata; Actinopteri; Salmoniformes; Salmonidae. The record is from Ensembl.
ACCAGUGUUGACAGUGCAGAGUAAAACCAGUGUUGACAGUGCAGAGAAAACCCAGGUUGACAGUCCGGAGUAAAACCCAGUGUUGACAGUGCAGAGUAAAGACCAGUGUUGACAGUGCAGAGUAAAGACCAGUGUUGACAGUGCAGAGUAAAGACCAGUGUUGACAGUCCGGAGUAAAACCCAGUGUUGACAGUGCAGAGUAAAACCCAGUGUUGACAGUGCAGAGUAAAGACCAGUGUUGACAGUCCGGAGUAAAACCCAGUGUUGACAGUGCAGAGGAAAACCCAGUGUUGACAGUGCAGAGUAAAGACCCAGUGUUGACAGUGCAGAGUAAAGACCCAG